Molecule: small RNA, 125 nt
Filed under: Marmota monax (woodchuck)
Lineage: Eukaryota; Metazoa; Chordata; Mammalia; Rodentia; Sciuridae
Source: RNAcentral
GCUGGGCACGGUGGCACAUGCCUGCAACCCCAGCAGCUUGGGAGGCUGAGGCAAGAGGAUCUCAUGUUCAAAGCCAUCUUCAGCAACAGUGAGGUGCUAAGGAAUUCAGUGAGACCCUGUCUCUU